GAGAGUUUGAUUCUGGCUCAGGAUGAACGCUGGCGGCGUGCCUAACACAUGCAAGUCGAGCGAGAAAUUCAAGAUCAAAUCUUCGGAAGAGAGAAAGAAUGGAAAGCGGCGGACGGGUGAGUAACGCGUAGGUAACCUGCCCUGUACAGAGGGAUAGCCACUGGAAACGGUGAUUAAUACCUCAUAAUACCGGAAGUUCACAUGGACAAUCGGUCAAAGAUUUAUCGGUACAGGAUGGACCUGCGUCUGAUUAGUUAGUUGGUGAGGUAACGGCUCACCAAGGCGACGAUCAGUAGCCGACCUGAGAGGGUGAUCGGCCACAUUGGAACUGAGACACGGUCCAAACUCCUACGGGAGGCAGCAGUGGGGAAUAUUGCACAAUGGGGGGAACCCUGAUGCAGCAACGCCGCGUGAAUGAAGAAGGCCUUUGGGUCGUAAAGUUCUGUUCUGAGGGAAGAAGAAAGUGACGGUACCUCAGGAGAAAGCCCCGGCUAACUACGUGCCAGCAGCCGCGGUAAUACGUAGGGGGCAAGCGUUGUCCGGAAUCAUUGGGCGUAAAGAGUACGUAGGCGGUCUGAUAAGCACAAGGUUUAAGGCAACAGCUCAACUGUUGUUCGCCUUGUGAACUGUUAGACUUGAGUGCGGGAGAGGAAAGCGGAAUUCCUGGUGUAGCGGUGAAAUGCGUAGAUAUCAGGAGGAAUACCGGUGGCGAAGGCGGCUUUCUGGACCGUAACUGGCGCUGAGGUACGAAAGCGUGGGGAGCAAACAGGAUUAGAUACCCUGGUAGUCCACGCCGUAAACGAUGAGCACUAGGUGUCGGGGCUGUAGAGCUUCGGUGCCGCAGUUAACGCAAUAAGUGCUCCGCCUGGGGAGUACGCACGCAAGUGUGAAACUCAAAGGAAUUGACGGGGACCCGCACAAGCAGCGGAGCAUGUGGUUUAAUUCGAAGCAACGCGAAGAACCUUACCAGGGCUUGACAUCCUCUUGACGUAUUCUUAAUCGGAUAUUUCUUCGGACAAGAGAGACAGGUGGUGCAUGGUUGUCGUCAGCUCGUGUCGUGAGAUGUUGGGUUAAGUCCCGCAACGAGCGCAACCCUUGUCAUUAGUUACUAACGAUUCGGUCGAGGACUCUAAUGAGACUGCCGGGGAGAACUCGGAGGAAGGUGGGGAUGACGUCAAAUCAUCAUGCCCCUUAUGUUCUGGGCUACACACGUGCUACAAUGGUCGGUACAAAGAGAAGCGAGACUGUGAAGUGGAGCGAAACUCAAAAGCCGAUCCCAGUUCGGACUGUAGGCUGAAACCCGCCUACACGAAGUCGGAGUUGCUAGUAAUCGUGGAUCAGAAUGCCACGGUGAAUGCGUUCCCGGGUCUUGUACACACCGCCCGUCACACCAUGGAAGUUGGGGGCGCCCAAAGUCGGUCGACAAAUAGACUGCCUAAGGUGAAACCAAUGACUGGGGUGAAGUCGUAACAAGGUAGCCGUAUCGGAAGGUGCGGCUGGAUCACCUCCUU
RNAcentral lists this ribosomal RNA (1511 nucleotides) under Eubacterium sp. oral clone CK047. RNAcentral describes it as "bacterial SSU rRNA". It matches the Rfam family "Bacterial small subunit ribosomal RNA". Lineage: Bacteria; Bacillati; Bacillota; Clostridia; Eubacteriales; Eubacteriaceae. The record is from RNAcentral.